This 433-nucleotide ribosomal RNA is filed under the name uncultured bacterium. RNAcentral's name for it is "partial 16S ribosomal RNA". It matches the Rfam family "Bacterial small subunit ribosomal RNA", at positions 29 to 507 of the family's 1533-position model. The record is from RNAcentral.
AACGAACGCUGGCGGCAUGCCUAACACAUGCAAGUCGAACGAGACGUUCGGGUCUAUUGGCGCAGGGGUGCUGGCCGAGUGGGAAGCUGCCCUUAGGUUAGGAAUACCUGCCCGAAGGGGGUGCUAAUACCGGUUAAUCUCUUCGGACCAAAGAUUUAUCGCUUUGGGAUGGGCGCGCGUUGGAUUCGCGAGUUGGUAGGGUACAAGCCUACCAAGGCGACGAUGCUUAGCUGGUCGGAGAGGAUGAUCAGCCACACUGGGCCUGAGACACGGCCCAGACUCCUACGGGAGGCAGCAGUGGGGAAUAUUGGACGAGGGGCGAAAGCCUGAUCCAGCAAUGCCGGGUGAGUGAGGAAGGCCUUAGGGUUGUAAAGCUCUUUUACCCGGGAUGAUAAUGACAGUACCGGGAGAAUAAGCGCCGGCUAACUACGUG